CUGGCUGAUGGGUCUGGUCACCGGCGCGCAACUUGGUACUUGGCGGGCUGGCUUGGUCGCUGGCGCGCAUCUUGACACUUGGCGGGCUGGCUUGGUCGCCGGCGCGCAACUUGGUACUUGGCGGGCUGGCUUGGUCGCCGGCGCGCAUCUUGGCGCCUGGCGAGGUGGCCUGGUCGCCGGGGCGCAUCUUGGCGCCUGGCGAGGUGGCCUGGUCGCCGCUGGCGGCCGGCUUGGGGCAUGGCAGGUUGGGUAAGUCCCCGCAGGUGCCCGCCCUGGCGCCUGGCGGACUAGCCUGGUCCCCGCCGGCGCCCGCCUUGGCGCGUGGCGGGCUGGCCUGGUCGCCGCCGGUGG
Molecule: long non-coding RNA, 351 nt
Filed under: Hordeum vulgare
Lineage: Eukaryota; Viridiplantae; Streptophyta; Magnoliopsida; Poales; Poaceae
Description: long non-coding RNA (HVUL_LNC008214)
Source: RNAcentral